This 503-nucleotide ribosomal RNA is filed under the name uncultured bacterium. Its description in RNAcentral is "partial 16S ribosomal RNA". It matches the Rfam family "Bacterial small subunit ribosomal RNA", at positions 30 to 523 of the family's 1533-position model. The record is from RNAcentral.
AUUGAACGCUGGCGGCAGGCUUAACACAUGCAAGUCGAGCGGGGUGAUGGUGCUUGCACUAUCACUUAGCGGCGGACGGGUGAGUAAUGCUUAGGAAUCUGCCUAUUAGUGGGGGACAACAUCUCGAAAGGGAUGCUAAUACCGCAUACGUCCUACGGGAGAAAGCAGGGGAUCACUUGUGACCUUGCGCUAAUAGAUGAGCCUAAGUCGGAUUAGCUAGUUGGUGGGGUGAAGGCCUACCAAGGCGACGAUCUGUAGCGGGUCUGAGAGGAUGAUCGGCCACACUGGGACGGAGACACGGGCCAGAAUCCUACGGGAGGCAGCAGUGGGGAAUAUUGGACAAUGGGGGGAACCCUGAUCCAGCCAUGCCGCGUGUGUGAAGAAGGCCUUAUGGUUGUAAAGCACUUUAAGCGAGGAGGAGGCUCUUUUGGUUAAUACCCAAGAUGAGUGGACGUUACUCGCAGAAUAAGCACCGGCUAACUCUGUGCCAGCCGCCGCCGUAA